UAUGAUCUUUGCUUUAAGAGCUUAAAGCCCUCGUGCUACGCAAGGGCCAAACCUACUGCGAAUUAGACAAAUUUACACCAAACUAUAACAAUUGAGCAAGUAAUUCCAGCCACUAAAUCUUAGACCUCAAAUACUUAGAAUGAUCAAAUAUAUAUCGUGGGAACUACACUGUACCUGCUCCUAAUCUUCUAUCUACAUUCUGAUCAUUUCGUAAAGCCUUAAAAAAACUAACUAAUUUUUGUGAUUAAUUCAUAUGCACUCAAGUCUCAACACUCUAGGAAUCACAAGAUUUUCCAGGAAUUAUGCAAAAGAAAGGUCCAAUCUCAGGAACAAAAUGCAAAUUAAACGUUGGUGUUCAAUUGGUGCUCGUGGACUGAUUAGAAGAGCAACACUUGGGGUUCUCAGAUCUUGAAAGUUUGCAUACAACAGGAAAAUCACGAUACAAAGGUUUGAUAUCAUUUAAUCCCUAAUUGAAUGAUUCAUGUGUUUGAUUAUGUUUGCGAUCUUAUGAUAGAGGUUAGGAAAUAAUUUCCUAAAAUUCCGAUAUAUGCAUCUAUAUAUUCCUACAGUGGUAUCAGUUUGCCUAUUUCAUAAUAUUGAUCAUGUAAUUGUAUGCAAAGUUAUUAUUUUUAGUCAAUUAAGGAAGGAUUUAUUUA
Long non-coding RNA from Beta vulgaris subsp. vulgaris (sugar beet), 656 nucleotides. RefSeq lists it as uncharacterized. The transcript is spliced from 2 exons. The record is from RefSeq and is a predicted model, not a curated record. Lineage: Eukaryota; Viridiplantae; Streptophyta; Magnoliopsida; Caryophyllales; Amaranthaceae.